AUGAAUCUUUUUUGUAGUUCAUCCCAAUUCCAAGUUGCUGGUUUUGGUUUGUUGGGUUGCUUCUCCGCCGGCAAAUGUUGCGCUGCAGACUCGCUCAGCCCGUUUUUUGUUUUUUUCCCGCUCUUUCACACCUACAUGCGCGCGCGCGCCCCCGCGCACAUCCACCCAAGCACACGGGCACCUCUCCACGAACACGGCAUCGUGCGUUAUCCUGGGAUCCGGGCAGCAGCAAAGCGGAGGAUGAUUAACAGCGCGUGCUCUGGAAUAAAGCUUGCCAGGUCUUCCCGCGUAAUUGAAGAGGAGAGACUCAAGAAGCAAAGAGACUCGCAGAUGCUGCAGCAGGAACUGGAACAGCACUGGACUGUUUUGGCAUUUGUAAAGCCAGCUGGAAGCCUCUGGGGCCCCCUGGCAAUCAACAUCCAUCUUGGCUCUGUUCUACUGGGGGCGAUGCUGCAGCUGCCAGACUAUGGAACUGCUGCUCACAUUCUAAGAUGUAUUGGAUAUAUCCUUACAUGACAUUCAAAUAGGUAACACUACUAAUGCAACUGGGAUUUUCUAAUUGGUAAUGCUGCUACAGAAUCCCAGACAAGUAGUAAUAGACACCUGGUAUACCGAAAAAUAACACAAUGUCCUACAACUAGUAAAACAAUGCAAUUCAGUUAUGACCACCCUAUGAGAGAAAUAAGAGACUACCUCCCCUACUAUCUCCUCUUAUCCCUGAAGAGUGGUUCUCAGUCUCCAGAUGUUUUAGAACCUGACAAUUCCUAAUCACUGGUCAGAUGGCUAGAACUUCUAGAAGUUGAAACUCCAAACAUCUGGAGGAUCAAAGUUAAGAAUCACUGUCCUAGAAAAUGGGGAGGGGGGAAGAUAACCUAUUGCGCUUAAGAAAUAACAUGAGUUUAGUUUUGUUUUUCUUAAAAACACUAUUGGUGUAAUGAAUCACAAUUUCAAAUAAUUUUUAAAAGUUACUUUCUCAAGAUAUUUUAAGGCAUUUUUAAGAAUAAUUUUCAAGCUUUGUGUUAUUUUCCAUAGUUGCUGAUUUUAAUGUUUCUGCUUUUGUUUUUGUUUUCUAUUAUAUGUGUUGUAGCCGCCCAGAAUAGUGCCUCAACACUAAUGGGAAUGGGAUACAAAUUGAAUGAAUAAAUGAAUAAAUGAAUAAAUAAAUAAACUGUUU
This 1174-nucleotide long non-coding RNA is filed under the name Pogona vitticeps (central bearded dragon). RNAcentral's name for it is "lncRNA (ENSPVIG00000000897.1)". The record is from RNAcentral. Lineage: Eukaryota; Metazoa; Chordata; Lepidosauria; Squamata; Agamidae.